Molecule: non-coding RNA, 152 nt
Organism: Pseudomonas batumici
Lineage: Bacteria; Pseudomonadati; Pseudomonadota; Gammaproteobacteria; Pseudomonadales; Pseudomonadaceae
Source: Rfam
AUGCUGAAGGGGUGUCCUGCUGACGUUGUCGGCAACAGGCCCAGGUAGCCCGGAUCUAAAAGGCUACGACGCGAUGAUCGCGUUGAUCACCACCCGACCGCUCUCGCAUUCAUCACCGCGGUCAGUCGUCAGAACCGUUGACGACCGAAUGC